UACAGAGGGUGCGAGCGUUGUCCGGAAUCACUGGGCGUAAAGGGCGCGUAGGUGGCGACCCAAGUCAAUGGUGAAAGCCCGGGGCUCAACCCCGGGUCGGCCGUGCGGACUGUGGGGCUGGAGCACUGUAGAGGCGGGUGGAAUUCCGGGUGUAGCGGUGGAAUGCGUAGAGAUCCGGAAGAACACCGGUGGCGAAGGCGGCCCGCUGGGCAGUGGCUGACGCUGAGGCGCGACAGCGUGGGGAGCAAACAGG
RNAcentral lists this ribosomal RNA (253 nucleotides) under uncultured bacterium. Its description in RNAcentral is "partial 16S ribosomal RNA". It matches the Rfam family "Bacterial small subunit ribosomal RNA", at positions 524 to 776 of the family's 1533-position model. The record is from RNAcentral.